This 29-nucleotide ribosomal RNA is filed under the name uncultured Dermocybe. RNAcentral's name for it is "partial 18S ribosomal RNA". Lineage: Eukaryota; Fungi; Basidiomycota; Agaricomycetes; Agaricales; Cortinariaceae. The record is from RNAcentral.
AGGUUCGUAGUGACCGCGGAGGAUCAUUA